CCCUGAGUAAAAAUGAGACAGUAGAAACCUUGGAGAUCAAUAGCUAAAGAUUAUAUACAUUUUUUUUUUUUUUUAACACCGCCUCCACAACACAUGUUGGAAAGAAGCAGUGUUGCAGCACGCCAUGCAAUCAAAGGGGAUUCCCUGCAUGCAGGACCUCUGUGGAUCUACCUGGGGAGAAAUAAACUGAGUUAUUAAAAAUGAUGCGAGGAAAAGGACAGUUGAGAGCUCUGCACUGGGUGCGUCACGUCGUGCUCAGCAAGUCAUCUGAAGGCUUCUGAUGCAAGGAAAACCUCAAGAGCAAACAGGCGGGACGAUGCUGGUACCAGGUUGCAGAGCGAAAACACCCUGUUUUCACCCUGCUCACUGCAGUCAGCACAAGUCCUGCACUUGACUCCCGUCUGAGGCUGCAUCAUCCUCACAUCAGGUGGUUCCGCACCGCGCAGUCGGAGUUACUGAGCGCGCACUCACUCCAUCCCCAUGUCGCCGCGUUUCUGAUGAGUCCUGCAGCAGUUUUCGAUUGGCGCUGUUUAUCCCGUGAGUCCUGUGGAUCUGUCUGGCAGAAUCUAAUCACACCCAGCAAAUUCAUCACUGCACCCCCAUUUAGGGAAAAGACACUGGAAAAGAGGAGUAUCCGUCCGUCUCCAGGGCCGCUGAGCGCGUCUCUCCUGUAGCGAGACUAAGCCGCGCGCUCUUCCUCGAGCCAGCGUUCACCAUCGGCGCUGCUGGAAAUGUUUCUCAU
RNAcentral lists this long non-coding RNA (742 nucleotides) under Scleropages formosus (Asian bonytongue). RNAcentral describes it as "lncRNA (ENSSFOG00015032907.1)". The record is from RNAcentral. Lineage: Eukaryota; Metazoa; Chordata; Actinopteri; Osteoglossiformes; Osteoglossidae.